This 583-nucleotide ribosomal RNA is filed under the name uncultured bacterium. Its description in RNAcentral is "bacterial SSU rRNA". It matches the Rfam family "Bacterial small subunit ribosomal RNA", at positions 338 to 916 of the family's 1533-position model. The record is from RNAcentral.
CCUACGGGAGGCAGCAGUGGGGAAUUUUGGACAAUGGGCGCAAGCCUGAUCCAGCAAUGCCGCGUGCAGGAUGAAGGCCUUCGGGUUGUAAACUGCUUUUGUACGGAACGAAACGGCGAGCUCUAAUAAAGUUUGCUAAUGACGGUACCGUAAGAAUAAGCACCGGCUAACUACGUGCCAGCAGCCGCGGUAAUACGUAGGGUGCGAGCGUUAAUCGGAAUUACUGGGCGUAAAGCGUGCGCAGGCGGUUAUAUAAGACAGAUGUGAAAUCCCCGGGCUCAACCUGGGACCUGCAUUUGUGACUGUAUAGCUAGAGUACGGUAGAGGGGGAUGGAAUUCCGCGUGUAGCAGUGAAAUGCGUAGAUAUGCGGAGGAACACCGAUGGCGAAGGCAAUCCCCUGGACCUGUACUGACGCUCAUGCACGAAAGCGUGGGGAGCAAACAGGAUUAGAUACCCUGGUAGUCCACGCCCUAAACGAUGUCAACUGGUUGUUGGGUCUUCACUGACUCAGUAACGAAGCUAACGCGUGAAGUUGACCGCCUGGGGAGUACGGCCGCAGGUUGAACUCAAAGGAAUUGACGG